AACGAACGCUGGCGGCGCGUCUUAAGCAUGCAAGUCGGACGGCAAGAUGCCUUCGGGCAUCCUAGAGUGGCGAACGGGUGAGUAACACGUAAGUGAUCUGCCCUGCAGUUGGGGAUAGCCUGUGGAAACACAGGGUAAUACCGGAUGAGAUGACAAUGAUUGAACUAUGUCAAGAAAGUGGCUACGGCCACGCUGCGGGAUGAGCUUGCGGCUCAUUAGCUAGUUGGGGGUGUAACGGACCACCAAGGCGACGAUGAGUAGCCGGCCUGAGAGGGUGAACGGCCACAUUGGGACUGAGACACGGCCCAGACUCC
RNAcentral lists this ribosomal RNA (314 nucleotides) under uncultured Spirochaetota bacterium. RNAcentral's name for it is "bacterial SSU rRNA". It matches the Rfam family "Bacterial small subunit ribosomal RNA", at positions 29 to 339 of the family's 1533-position model. Lineage: Bacteria; Pseudomonadati; Spirochaetota. The record is from RNAcentral.